AUUGGGCGUAAGCGAGCGCAGGCGGUUUCUUAAGUCUGAUGUGAAAGCCUUCGGCUCAMCCGAAGAAGUGCAUCGGAAACUGGGAAACUUGAGUGCAGAAGAGGACAGUGGAACUCCAUGUGUAGCGGUGAAAUGCGUAGAUAUAUGGAAGAACACCAGUGGCGAAGGCGGCUGUCUGGUCUGUAACUGACGCUGAGGCUCGAAAGCAUGGGUAGCAAACAGGAUUAGAUACCCUGGUAGUCCAUGCCGUAAACGAUGAGUGCUAGGUGUUGGAGGGUUUCCGCCCUUCAGUGCCGCAGCUAACGCAUUAAGCACUCCGCCUGGGGAGUACGACCGCAAGGUUGAAACUCAAAGGAAUUGACGGGGGCCCGCACAAGCGGUGGAGCAUGUGGUUUAAUUCGAAGCAACGCGAAGAACCUUACCAGGUCUUGACAUCCUUUGACCACUCUAGAGAUAGAGCUUUCCCUUCGGGGACAAAGUGACAGGUGGUGCAUGGUUGUCGUCAGCUCGUGUCGUGAGAUGUUGGGUUAAGUCCCGCAACGAGCGCAACCCUUAUUACUAGUUGCCAGCAUUUAGUUGGGCACUCUAGUGAGACUGCCGGUGACAAACCGGAGGAAGGUGGGGACGACGUCAAAUCAUCAUGCCCCUUAUGACCUGGGCUACACACGUGCUACAAUGGAUGGUACAACGAGUCGCGAGACCGCGAGGUUUAGCUAAUCUCUUAAAACCAUUCUCAGUUCGGAUUGUAGGCUGCAACUCGCCUACAUGAAGCCGGAAUCGCUAGUAAUCGCGGAUCAGCAUGCCGCGGUGAAUACGUUCCCGGGCCUUGUACACACCGCCCGUCACACCAUGAGAGUUUGUAACACCCAAAGCCGGUGAGGUAACCUUC
Molecule: ribosomal RNA, 889 nt
Filed under: Latilactobacillus curvatus
Lineage: Bacteria; Bacillati; Bacillota; Bacilli; Lactobacillales; Lactobacillaceae
Description: bacterial SSU rRNA
Rfam family: Bacterial small subunit ribosomal RNA
Source: RNAcentral